This 252-nucleotide ribosomal RNA is filed under the name uncultured bacterium. RNAcentral describes it as "partial 16S ribosomal RNA". It matches the Rfam family "Bacterial small subunit ribosomal RNA", at positions 99 to 353 of the family's 1533-position model. The record is from RNAcentral.
CGGACGGGUGAGUAAUGUCUGGGAAACUGCCUGAUGGAGGGGGAUAACUACUGGAAACGGUAGCUAAUACCGCAUAACGUCGCAAGACCAAAGAGGGGGACCUUCGGGCCUCUUGCCAUCAGAUGUGCCCAGAUGGGAUUAGCUAGUAGGUGGGGUAACGGCUCACCUAGGCGACAUCCCUAGCUGGUCUGAGAGGAUGACCAGCCACACUGGAACUGAGACACGGUCCAGACUCCUACGGGAGGCAGCAUG